GUGGCUCAGUGGUAGAGUUCUUGUCUUGCAUGCAUGAGGCCCUGGGUUCAAUUCCUCAGC
Molecule: transfer RNA, 60 nt
Filed under: Dipodomys ordii (Ord's kangaroo rat)
Lineage: Eukaryota; Metazoa; Chordata; Mammalia; Rodentia; Heteromyidae
Rfam family: tRNA
About the family: Transfer RNA (tRNA) molecules are approximately 80 nucleotides in length. Their secondary structure includes four short double-helical elements and three loops (D, anti-codon, and T loops). Further hydrogen bonds mediate the characteristic L-shaped molecular structure. tRNAs have two regions of fundamental functional importance: the anti-codon, which is responsible for specific mRNA codon recognition, and the 3' end, to which the tRNAs corresponding amino acid is attached (by aminoacyl-tRNA synthetases). tRNAs cope with the degeneracy of the genetic code in two manners: having more than one tRNA (with a specific anti-codon) for a particular amino acid; and 'wobble' base-pairing, i.e. permitting non-standard base-pairing at the 3rd anti-codon position.
Source: Rfam by way of RNAcentral